GAUGAACGCUGGCGGCGUGCCUAAUACAUGCAAGUCGAGCGAACAGAUGAGGAGCUUGCUCCUCUGACGUUAGCGGCGGACGGGUUAGUAACACGUGGAUAACCUACCUAUAAGACUGGGAUAACUUCGGGAAACCGGAGCUAAUACCGGAUAAUAUAUUGAACCGCAUGGUUCAAUAGUGAAAGACGGUUUUGCUGUCACUUAUAGAUGGAUCCGCGCCGCAUUAGCUAGUUGGUAAGGUAACGGCUUACCAAGGCAACGAUGCGUAGCCGACCUGAGAGGGUGAUCGGCCACACUGGAACUGAGACACGGUCAAGACUCCUACGGGAGGCAGCAGUAGGGAAUCUUCCGCAAUGGGCGAAAGCCUGACGGAGCAACGCCGCGUGAGUGAUGAAGGUCUUCGGAUCGUAAAACUCUGUUAUUAGGGAAGAACAAAUGUGUAAGUAACUAUGCACGUCUUGACGGUACCUAAUCAGAAAGCCACGGCUAACUACGUG
Molecule: ribosomal RNA, 497 nt
Filed under: uncultured bacterium
Lineage: Bacteria
Description: partial 16S ribosomal RNA
Rfam family: Bacterial small subunit ribosomal RNA
Source: RNAcentral